This is a long non-coding RNA of Mytilus californianus (California mussel), 424 nucleotides long. RefSeq lists it as uncharacterized. NCBI's taxonomy places the organism in Eukaryota, Metazoa, Mollusca, Bivalvia, Mytilida, Mytilidae. The record is from RefSeq and is a predicted model, not a curated record. The transcript is spliced from 4 exons.
UAUAUAUCCUGUGCGUUUAUAUGUUGAAUAUCAUAUGUAGAAUAUCAUAUGCUGGAAUAGCCAAGUAAGAGAACCAACAAGAAGAAUGAAGGUUCCUGUUUGUUUAGUCGUCUCUCUGUUGUUUGUGCUCGUGGGAGUUAACAUGGCACAUGAAGAAAUGUUUGAAGACAAUGGCCUUAUUCAUAAGCUCAUAAAAAGACAAACAUGUCGUGGAAAACCAUGCACUCGUGACAGCCAGUGCUGUAAAUAUCAUAAAUGUUUUGGCGUAGGGUUCAAGAUAUGCAGGCGCGCCUAAAUUGGCUAGUGAGUUCAGCUAUCCAUUAUUUACAGGUCUUAGUGAACAUAACAGGACCUACGAACUAUUACUUAUUUUAAUGUAAUUGACUAGUAAAAAAUGAAUGUAGAAUAAAAUGAAAUGAAAUUC